AUGUCCCGGCUUAACUACGGGAUCAUCUCCUUGAUUCUCAAGGUGUCGGGUGCCGCUGGCAUUAGGAAAUUCUGGCCUAUCACAGUCCUCAAUGUGAUUUUUUGGAUUGCCAAGGGGUAUGCCACUAGGGCGACCCUAAUCGCUCCCCGGAUCCACCAGCCAAACUAGUCGGCCUUCGCGUAGGGCAGGUAUAUCCUGGAUGGGAUCCUCGUCCUCCACGAGAUCAUCCACGAGGUCAAGAGCAAGCACCUUCGCGUUGUGUUCUUCAGGAUUGAUUUCCAUAAAGCAUACGACAUCAUCCACUAGUCCUUCCUUCGGGAGGUGAUGCUCAAGCGUGGGUUUGAUGCCCACUAG
This 354-nucleotide ribosomal RNA is filed under the name Triticum aestivum (bread wheat). RNAcentral describes it as "partial small subunit ribosomal RNA". The record is from RNAcentral. Lineage: Eukaryota; Viridiplantae; Streptophyta; Magnoliopsida; Poales; Poaceae.